GUAGUCUCGCACAGAUGCAUAUCAAUAAGCGGAGGAAAAGAAACUAACAAGGAUUCCCCUAGUAACGGCGAGUGAAGCGGGAAGAGCUCAAAUUUGAAAUCUUAAAGGGUUUCCCUUUACGAAUUGUAGUUUAAAGAAGUGUUUUCUGUUGAGGUUUUGGUAAAAGUUCUUUGGAAUAGGACAUCAUAGAGGGUGAGGAAUCCCGUAUUUGACCUUUACUUUCAACUUUGUGAUACACUUUCAAAGAGUCGGAUUGUUUGGGAAUGCAGUCCAAAAUGGGUGGUAAAUUUCAUCUAAAGCUAAAUAUUGGCGAGAGACCGAUAGCGAACAAGUACCGUGAGGGAAAGAUGAAAAGAACUUUGAGAAAGAGAGUUAAACAGUACGUGAAAUUGUCAAAAGGGAAGCGUUUGACACCAGUGUUGUUUUUCUGAAAAUCAAUUAAAGAACUGUUUAUGCUAAGCUUGUUUAGACUUUAUCAGCUAACUGUUUAGUUUUGAGCUUUUCUUUAAUGCACUUUUCAGUUAACAAGUCAACAUCAAUUUCUUUUGCUGUAAAAAAGCUUGAGGAAGGUGGCUUGAGAUUCGUCUUAAGUGUUUAUAGCCUCUUGCCUAUGCAGUCGGAGAGAUUGAGGUCUGCAGCGUAGAUCCUUCGGGGCUAAAUGCAUUUGUGCUAAGUUAUAGCAUUUUAUAGACAACUUGUUGACUAUGAUUUGUCUUGUAGCUUACUCGCUUAUGUUAUUUUACCUACGCUUAGGAUGUUGAUCUGUAGUGCGUGCGC
RNAcentral lists this ribosomal RNA (777 nucleotides) under uncultured Neocallimastigales. Its description in RNAcentral is "partial large subunit ribosomal RNA". It matches the Rfam family "Eukaryotic large subunit ribosomal RNA", at positions 24 to 647 of the family's 3401-position model. Lineage: Eukaryota; Fungi; Neocallimastigomycota; Neocallimastigomycetes; Neocallimastigales. The record is from RNAcentral.